This 91-nucleotide microRNA precursor is filed under the name Vicugna pacos (alpaca). Its description in RNAcentral is "miRNA (ENSVPAG00000017683.1)". Lineage: Eukaryota; Metazoa; Chordata; Mammalia; Artiodactyla; Camelidae. The record is from RNAcentral.
AACACAGAGAGACCUUGUUAAAAUACAGAUUCUGAUGUGGUAGGGCUGAGUUCAGAAAUUCUGCAUUUCUAUCAAGCUCUCGGGUGACGCC